CCACUUGGCGAAGAUGAACUGAUCUCAUACAUCCUGGCCGGCCUCGACUUGGAAUACAACCCCCUAGUAUCUUCUCUUGAUGCUCGUACUGAACCACUUACACUAGAUGCACUGUACUCCCAGAUGGCGAACUUUGAUC
Non-coding RNA from Triticum urartu, 139 nucleotides. The record is from Rfam. Lineage: Eukaryota; Viridiplantae; Streptophyta; Magnoliopsida; Poales; Poaceae.